CCUACGGGGAGCAGCAGUGAGGAAUAUUGGUCAAUGGGCGAGAGCCUGAACCAGCCAAGUCGCGUGAGGGAAUACUGUCCUAUGGGUUGUAAACCUCUUUUGUCAGGGAACAAAAGCCGGACGUGUCCGGCUGUGAGAGUACCCGGAGAAAAAGCAUCGGCUAACUCCGUGCCAGCAGCCGCGGUAAUACGGAGGAUGCGAGCGUUAUACGGAUUUAUUGGGUUUAAAGGGGGCGCAGGCGGGCUUUUAAGUCAGCGGUAAAAGCCCGGGGGUCAACCCCAGCGAGCCGUUGAAACUGGGGGGCUGGAGUUGGAGAGAGGUACGCGGAAUGCGCGGUGUAGCGGUGAAAUGCAUAGAUAUCGCGCAGAACCCCGAUUGCGAAGGCAGCGUACCGGCUCAAAACUGACGCUGAGGCACGAAAGCGUGGGUAUCGAACAGGAUUAGAUACCCGGGUAGUC
Molecule: ribosomal RNA, 458 nt
Filed under: uncultured bacterium
Lineage: Bacteria
Description: partial 16S ribosomal RNA
Rfam family: Bacterial small subunit ribosomal RNA
Source: RNAcentral